CAGAGCUCAGUGUUGGGGUCUCACAGCUCAGGGAGGAAUGUGCCAAAAAUCCCCCUGCAGCUCCUUCCAGUCCUUAACCAGGCUCGGUCAGCUCUGCACAGCUCUGCAUGGCAUAGCACGGCACAGUGUAACACGGCGUGGCAUGGCUCCAUGUGGCUCAGCACAGCAAGGCAUGGCACAGCACAGCGUGGUGUGGCUUGGCUCGAUACAGCACGGCUUGGCACAGCAAGGUCACUCCCUGGGAUGCCCUUGGUCCAUUGGGGCACACAUCAUAUCAGGGCCAUUUCGACAGCAACACACAUUGCCUCCACAGGUUCAGACUAUAGGAAUGAGCUCACAGAGCAAAACCAGGCAGCUGGAGUCAGCUACUCCCUAGAAUCAUCCAUUACCCCAUGACAGGAGGGGAAGUCGGGGACACGCUGCUCAGGGGAGGAUGAGGCCAGAACCAGAGGGCGGUGCUGAAGAACCGAAGGGAACGCGGUGACAUCUGGACAAGCCAUCAGCGGUAUCAGCCCACACGUCACAGCCGAGAAAUCCACGGGCUUGAUGGAUGUAGAGUAAAACUGAAAUGAAAUGCUGGGAGAUAAUGGCCUCGCGUGCUGCUCCCCCUGCCCUGCACCGUGUUGCUGGCUCCAUGCAGCCUGCAGAGAUAGCAGCUCCUGCACUGCCCUGCAGCAUCCUCGGGGCCACAGCAGCACCAGCGCUGCCGGCACGGGAGGGACCUGGGACAAAGCCUUCAUUGGAGGAGGAGGGAAGCAGUGAGGAAGAUGGGGUGCAAUCCGUGCUGAUGGAAAUAAACACAUUCCCCAACAGCUGCACAGGAAAAUAGCCUCUUCCCACUUUCUGCACUCGGGAAGAUGGAGAGGUCGGUGGGGUGAUGGUGCAAUCUCAUGGCCAACUCCUUCCAUGCCGGGCAGUUUGAGGUGCCCCAUCCACACACAACCUCCAGCAGCAGCUGCAGGUGUAACACUGGGAACAUAAAUAAAAGACAGCCAGAGAAUGGGAUUUCUUUGGAGGCUGUGAAGCAAAGAGCCUCACCACUAAUGCAUCUUACCAGUUCUGACCAACAAAAUCUCCAUUUCAUUUGGCCACUGACCACACUCACACUGCAGAGGUGACGGCAGUGCCUGGUGCAGCCCGUCCUUCGUUUGGAAUUCUGUGUUGGUUUUUUGAUAUCCUCUAAUUUCUCCAUGCUGAGGCAAAUUUGUCACACGCAUGGGUCUGUUUGAUUUCAUUAAACAGAAUAUUUAAGCAUAAAAAUUGUUUAAUCGCCUUGUGUCAUUAUGAGAUGAAUUUCAUUUUGCAUACAUUUGCAUAUUUCAUCAAA
Molecule: long non-coding RNA, 1327 nt
Organism: Gallus gallus (chicken)
Lineage: Eukaryota; Metazoa; Chordata; Aves; Galliformes; Phasianidae
Source: Ensembl